AACCUCCGCAAUGUGAGAAAUCGCGACGGGGGGAUCCCAAGUGCCAUUCUUAACGGGAUGGCUUUUCUUAAGUGUAAAAAGCUUUUGGAAUAAGAGCUGGGCAAGACCGGUGCCAGCCGCCGCGGUAACACCGGCAGCUCUAGUGGUAGCUGUUUUUAUUGGGCCUAAAGCGUUCGUAGCCGGUUUGAUAAGUCACUGGUGAAAUCCUGUAGCUUAACUGUGGGAAUUGCUGGUGAUACUGUUGAACUUGAGGUCGGGAGAGGUUAGCGGUACUCCCAGGGUAGAGGUGAAAUUCUGUAAUCCUGGGAGGACCACCUGUGGCGAAGGCGGCUAACUGGAACGAACCUGACGGUGAGGGACGAAAGCUAGGGGCGCGAACCGGAUUAGAUACCCGGGUAGUCCUAGCCGUAAACGAUGCGGACUUGGUGUUGGGAUGGCUUUGAGCCGCUCCGGUGCCGAAGGGAAGCUGUUAAGUCCGCCGCCUGGGAGUACGUCGCAAGACUGAAACUUAAAGGAAUU
Molecule: ribosomal RNA, 519 nt
Filed under: uncultured bacterium
Lineage: Bacteria
Description: bacterial SSU rRNA
Rfam family: Archaeal small subunit ribosomal RNA
Source: RNAcentral